AACUGAAUUUGUUAUCAAAAUCUUCCCUUUGAACUCUGUUAGGUAAGAAAAGAUCACAGUCUCACACACGUGCUUUCAGAAAUAGAGGAGGAAGAAACACAUCCCAGUAUAUUUUAUAAGGCCAGCAUGUCCCCAAUACUAAAUUUGACGAAGACAUUUCAAAGAAAAAUAUUAAAACGCUAGUGAAGUUGGCCACAUGGUUUGGCUUUCUUUCCCCACUACCAGCUGGCAGAUAGGUCGCCCUAAUUUGGGGCAGGGGAGAGUAGGAUAGCUGGAGAGUGAGAUUUUUUUCUAAAGGCUCUUUUUAAAAAUAGGACACUUUUAUGAACAACAAUAAUAAUAAAUCAAUCAAAAUGUUAAUGCAUUACAGAGAACAAAAGUGCAACCAGCUAUAAAGUUAUUCCAUCUAACAUAUGUGUCAUCUUUUAUACCAUCUAAAGACAAGUGCUUGCAAAAAAAUUUCAAAAGCAUCAUGUCUGCCUGUACAUUGAGAAUAGCAAAUUCUCUUCAGUUCAUUUGCGUUUUUUCAUUGUUUUGAAAGAGGACAGAAAUUAUACUGUUGAGUUUUAAAGCAGUUGUGAGCAACAGAAAAAAAGAAUAAACAUUUUUAAUUGCUCCCAAAGCAAUAGAUACUCCCACGACAGACAACUGGGAUUUUGACAAAUACAUAUAUAAGGCAGAACAUGAGCAAAGAUGUAAAUAUCUUGGGUUAUUUCUCUCAAAGUCUAGUUACCAUGACUUUCAUUUUGGAAGAAAGUCCAGUAGACAUCAUCUAAGCCAGAUCACACCAGCAUUUCCUGUUCAUUCCCCACUUUUUAGUUAUUGUAGUGUGAAAUUUCACAGCCAUACUUUCUGCGUCAGCUUCAGAAGGCAGGAAUCCAACGUUACUCUCAAGUUCUUGAGAUUCAUUGAUGAGCCUCAUCAUUACUGGUGAUUAUUCUCCCUCUGCUGUGUCCACCAUAUCGUCAGUGACAGUGGAGGUGAAGUGAAUCUCUCACUUCCCCAUCUCUUCCCAUGCAGCUCUUGCAGAUCUCUAGCACCUGUUUCCUCGGCGUUUUCAAACAGAAUGAUGUAUUGUCGAAAAGCACUUUCUCUGACCUGCCUCACCAGUAUCUGCCCUGCAUUGCAGUGGUGCUCAAACUUUAUCAGGAGAAAAGAGACCCUUGGGGAUUUGGUCAGCCUCAUGUUCAUCCAAAGGCAUCUGGAUGAAUGGCAAUAUCACUUAUUGAUUUGGGACUAUAAAAGGAGCACAUUUAACAAGAUAACAAGAAGACCUACCUCAUGUGUUUUCAUGAGAACGAAAUAAAAAAUUGGAUCACCUAGCAUAUGAGCCUCCUUUGAUGAGCACGAUCCGGGACAGCUGGGAAGUUCAUGAGAGGGAUGUAAAAACAAUAUCGUCAGAGUUGACCUCAAACCUCCCCAGCAACGCGCGACACAGUUGGAGAGACGCGUGCAGACACCAAGCAGCAUGUGACGAAGGCCCCUCUGCCCUCUGGAUCCACGCCACGGCUGGAAGGGCUGACACUCUCGAGAACUAUCUUCAUUCUCUUCACUUGUAGAAAAACAUUUAAGUGGGAAGAAGAAGGAUGGAGGACAAGCAGGCCCUGUUUCAACAUGAGUCACCUUCAAGGGCAGUAUAUUAAUUAACGACUGAUUAUCCUUCAAAAUAGUAGUAUAGUGCUGUACCUCAAAUCCCCUGCAUCAGAAUAUGAAUUGUUAAAAGGACCCCUGAAUGAUAAGGUCUCUCCUGAGUCCACCGAGCACAGUGUUUUCUGUGCAUUUCAUCACAUUACAAAUUAGCUGGCUUAUUACAAAAGUCUGGUUGAAAUCCUGCUUUUGCUGAAGUUGUCUGUCUCUUCAUCUACUGCUCUGGCCAGAGCACUCAGGAAGACAUUAGAGACUGUAAGUCAUUUAUUUAUUUAUAGCAUGGUUGAUAGACUCAUUGAUAUUAUAUAUGAAAAAGCUCUGCCAAAUUUGACAAUUUACUCCUUACUCUAUCCUAGAUUUUAGGGUUUUUUUUUAAUUGUUUGGAACAAUUGAUGUUCCAAAUGGGGUAGGAGAAGGGAUUUCUUAUUCUCAAAGAAAUAAAUUAUUCUCCCUCCCCUUGAGGUAUGUGUAGGAGAAAACUUGUAGGCAGGAGGAGGCAGGAAUACAGGCAGGGAGGAUGGGAUUACUUGCUACCAUUGCCUCGGUUCUGAGACUAAAGUUAGGAAGUGUGCAAAACGUCACUAAUCUUUGGGAUGAGAAUAAAUCUUUGAAUACUAAUAAAUCUAUUUUGUAUCAAAAACUAAAUGAGUUCCGGACCAGUGCUGUUUAAUAGAAAUGUAAUGUGAGCCACAAAAGCAAGCCACACAUGCCAUUUUAAAUGUUGUAGUAGCUGCAUUUAAUUAGUAAAAAGAAAAAGGUAAAAUUAAUUUUAAUAGGAUGUAAUUUAACCCAAUAUGUACAAAUGUUAUAAUUAUUAACAUUUAGCAUUUUGUUUUUCAUAAUAAAUCUUUGAAAUCAAGUGUGAAUUUUACACAUGCAGCGCAUAUUAAGUGCUCCAAAGCCACCAAGCUGGUCACCUCAGGUCUAAACAAUCUAUUAAAUGAACCAUAUUGCCUUUAAAAUAUUUGCAGGAUCUUUAACAGCCAGACCAAAAGCACUGACUGAAAUUAUGAAGGUGAAACUGCAUUUUUAUUAUUGUGAGGUCUGACCUCUGUCAUUUAUACUUACAACUCCAGCCGCCUAACAGACUUUUCUCUAAGGAUUAUUUUGUCAUCCAAUUCAAUUUCACAGACUCUCAUCUUCUAAACACAUGCCUGAGCAGCAUCACACCCCUCGCUCACACAUGCACACAUCCCAGCCCACUGGAGUGUCCCGACCUCUAGUCUCUGGGAAUUGCCUUGGAAAUUAGGAAAAUACUUUAAUUCUGAUUGCCUUUUUUUUUUUUUUUAACGCAGAAAGCAGUAUCAGUAUGUUCUGCUUUAAAAUACAAUCUGCCUAUGUCAAAACUUUAUCUAGGUCUUGGGUGGCCACAAGAAAGAUGCCAAGGAGCAAAUGGCUCUAUUGUUUGAAGUUAGACAGUUGGCCCUCUGUAUCUGUAAGUUUCACAUCCACGGAUUCAGCCAAGCAUGGAUUGAAAAUAUUUUAAAAAAAGAAUGGUUGCA
This is a non-coding RNA of Microcebus murinus (gray mouse lemur), 3149 nucleotides long. The record is from RefSeq and is a predicted model, not a curated record. NCBI's taxonomy places the organism in Eukaryota, Metazoa, Chordata, Mammalia, Primates, Cheirogaleidae.